AACUACGCGUUAUUUUGUUUAAAAGUGGCGUUAUUUUGUUUAAAAGUGUCUAUUCGUCAGUCGUUAAAGAACCUAAGAAAUAAAAGCCAAAAAAAUGUAACCAAAAAAUAGUGAAGAAACAAGCCUAAAAACAUAGUCUUGAAUGGUCAUCUACAUCAAUAGCGUCUUUGAUAUCUUCAUCACCACCGUCAUCAUUAUGUAAACCUAUAGAAAUAAAUAAUGAAACUAAAUAAAACGAAUUAAUGACAGUACUAACUAUAUUGUUGACUCAAAAAAAAAGGAAAAAAUUAGUUCAUAAUCUACACCAUACCACCUUGAUCAUCUUCAUCAUCACCAUCAACUAAAAGUAGAAAAAUAAGAAAAAUCCACUCUAAUUUGAAGGACAUAAAUAUGCGUAUGGAAAUAGCACAUGAAGACAGUACAUUAGCAACAAUUGCUGAUAAUCCCUUAUCAUCAUCAUAAAUCUGAAACAGAAGCUGAAAUGAAUAUAUUAGCAGCUAGAUCAUCAUCAAAAAAAAAAUACUGUAUCCAGUGGUAAGAAAAAAAAAAUUAUUUUUUUUAAUUUAUUA
RNAcentral lists this unclassified non-coding RNA (569 nucleotides) under Melitaea cinxia (Glanville fritillary). Its description in RNAcentral is "misc RNA ENSMCXG00005007663.1". Lineage: Eukaryota; Metazoa; Arthropoda; Insecta; Lepidoptera; Nymphalidae. The record is from RNAcentral.